This 254-nucleotide ribosomal RNA is filed under the name uncultured bacterium. Its description in RNAcentral is "partial 16S ribosomal RNA". It matches the Rfam family "Bacterial small subunit ribosomal RNA", at positions 524 to 776 of the family's 1533-position model. The record is from RNAcentral.
CACGUAGGGGGCAAGCGUUGUCCGGAUUUAUUGGGCGUAAAGAGCUCGUAGGCGGUUCGGUAAGUCGGGUGUGAAACCUCCAGGCUCAACCUGGAGACGCCACCCGAUACUGCUGUGACUAGAGUCCGGUAGGGGAGCGUGGAAUUCCUGGUGUAGCGGUGAAAUGCGCAGAUAUCAGGAGGAACACCAGCGGCGAAGGCGGCGCUCUGGGCCGGAACUGACGCUGAGGAGCGAGAGCGUGGGGAGCGAACCGG